GAAGCGGGUCGGCGUGAAGCUGUGUAACCCCGCCAGGUCCGGAAGGAAGCAACGGUAAGCAGCGUAACGGGUGGCUCGCUUCGGC
RNAcentral lists this signal recognition particle RNA (85 nucleotides) under Deltaproteobacteria bacterium. RNAcentral's name for it is "signal recognition particle sRNA small type". It matches the Rfam family "Bacterial small signal recognition particle RNA". Rfam says of the family: The signal recognition particle (SRP) is a universally conserved ribonucleoprotein involved in the co-translational targeting of proteins to membranes. Archaeal SRP consists of a 7S RNA and homologues of the eukaryotic SRP19 and SRP54 proteins. The record is from RNAcentral. Lineage: Bacteria; Pseudomonadati; Myxococcota; Myxococcia.